This 274-nucleotide ribosomal RNA is filed under the name uncultured bacterium. RNAcentral describes it as "partial 16S ribosomal RNA". It matches the Rfam family "Bacterial small subunit ribosomal RNA", at positions 523 to 796 of the family's 1533-position model. The record is from RNAcentral.
AUACGGAGGGUGCAAGCGUUACUGGGAAUCACUGGGCGUAAAGCGCAUGCAGGCGGUCAGAUAAGUUAGAAGUGAAAUCCUAUAGCUCACCUAUAGAACUGCUUCUAAAACUGUUUGACUAGAGUCUGGGAGGGGAAGAUGGAAUUAGUAGUGUAGGGGUAAAAUCCGUAGAGAUUACUAGGAAUACCAAAAGCGAAGGCGAUCUUCUGGAACAGUACUGACGCUGAGAUGCGAAAGCGUGGGGAGCAAACAGGAUUAGAUACCCUAGUAGUCC